RNAcentral lists this non-coding RNA (89 nucleotides) under uncultured Butyricicoccus sp. Its description in RNAcentral is "Glycine riboswitch". The stretch from base 5 to 83 matches the Rfam family "Glycine riboswitch aptamer", at positions 9 to 86 of the family's 94-position model. Rfam says of the family: This family represents the bacterial glycine riboswitch. The record is from RNAcentral. Lineage: Bacteria; Bacillati; Bacillota; Clostridia; Eubacteriales; Butyricicoccaceae.
GUGGCUCUGGAGAAGCUCAUAAGAUGAGUGCCGAAGGUGCAAGGCGUUAAAUUAACGCUAAUCUCUCAGGCAAAAGGACAGAGUUUGAA